CUACAGGGGUAUCUAAUCCUGUUCGCUCCCCACGCUUUCGUCCAUCAGCGUCAAUGUAUUGUUAGUAACCUGCCUUCGCAAUGGGUAUUCCAUGUAAUAUCUAAGCAUUUCACCGCUACACUACAUAUUCUAGUUACUUCACAAUAAUUCAAGUCCUGCAGUAUCAAUGGCAGUGCGACAGUUGAGCUGCCGGAUUUCACCACUGACUUACAAAACCGCCUACGGACCCUUUAAACCCAAUGAUUCCGGAUAACGCUUGGAUCCUCCGUAUUACCGCGGCUGCUGGCAC
Molecule: ribosomal RNA, 289 nt
Filed under: uncultured Flavobacterium sp.
Lineage: Bacteria; Pseudomonadati; Bacteroidota; Flavobacteriia; Flavobacteriales; Flavobacteriaceae
Description: partial 16S ribosomal RNA
Source: RNAcentral